UGUAAGCGUAUACCAAAGUUGUUGCAGUUAAAACGCUCGUAGUCGGAAUUUGGCAGUUCCGGAUGUGUGCACGUCGUGUGCGCACUUCGCGGGGAUUGCUUUUGUGGUCUUGCGUAGGAUGAGGCACUUUUAUUAGUGAACGUCCUCACGCAACCACUUUUUACUGUGAGAAAAUCAGAGUGCUCAAAGCAGGCAUUUGCCGUGAAUGUAUUAGCAUGGAAUAAUAGAAUAGGACUUGGUUCUAUUUUGUUGGUUUGUUGGGACUGAGUAAUGAUUAAGAGGGACAGUUGGGGGCAUUUGUAUUUCGGUGCUAGAGGUGAAAUUCUUAGAUUACCGAAAGACAAACUGCUGCGAAAGCGUCUGCCAAGGAAGUUUUCAUUGA
This 382-nucleotide ribosomal RNA is filed under the name uncultured eukaryote. RNAcentral's name for it is "partial 18S ribosomal RNA". It matches the Rfam family "Eukaryotic small subunit ribosomal RNA", at positions 592 to 976 of the family's 1831-position model. The record is from RNAcentral.